UGGGAAUAUUGGACAAUGGGGGAAACCCUGAUCCAGCAAUCCCGCGUGAGGGAUGAAGGCCCUCGGGUCGUAAACCUCUUUCAGCAGGAAAGAAUAAAAUGACGGUACCUGCAGAAGAAGCACCGGCUAACUCCGUGCCAGCAGCCGCGGUAAUACGGAGGGUGCAAGCGUUGUUCGGAAUCAUUGGGCGUAAAGAGCGUGUAGGCGGCCAAUUAAGUCUGAUGUGAAAGCCCGGGGCUUAACCCCGGAAGUGCAUUGGAUACUGGUUGGCUAGAGGACGAGAGGGGAAGGCGGAAUUCCUGGUGUAGGGGUGAAAUCCGUAGAUAUCAGGAGGAACACCGGAGGCGAAGGCGGCUUUCUGGCUCGUAACUGACGCUGAGACGCGAAAGCGUGGGGAGCAAAC
RNAcentral lists this ribosomal RNA (403 nucleotides) under uncultured bacterium. RNAcentral describes it as "bacterial SSU rRNA". It matches the Rfam family "Bacterial small subunit ribosomal RNA", at positions 356 to 773 of the family's 1533-position model. The record is from RNAcentral.